Molecule: ribosomal RNA, 497 nt
Filed under: uncultured bacterium
Lineage: Bacteria
Description: partial 16S ribosomal RNA
Rfam family: Bacterial small subunit ribosomal RNA
Source: RNAcentral
GAUGAACGCUGGCGGCGUGCCUAAUACAUGCCAGUCGAGCGAACGGACGAGAAGCUUGCUUCUCUGAUGUUAGCGGCGGACGGGUGAGUAACACGUGGAUAACCUACCUAUAAGACUGGGAUAACUUCGGGAAACCGGAGCUAAUACCGGAUGAUAUUUUGAACCGCAUGGUUCAAAAGUGAAAGACGGUCUUGCUGUCACUUAUAGAUGGAUCCGCGCUGCAUUAGCUAGUUGGUAAGGUAACGGCCUACCAAGGCAACGAUGCAUAGCCGACCUGAGAGGGUGAUCGGCCACACUGGAACUGAGACACGGUCCAGACUCCUACGGGAGGCAGCAGUAGGGAAUCUUCCGCAAUGGGCGAAAGCCUGACGGAGCAACGCCGCGUGAGUGAUGAAGGUCUUCGGAUCGUAAAACUCUGUUAUUAGGGAAGAACAUAUGUGUAAGUAACUGUGCACAUCUUGACGGUACCUAAUCAGAAAGCCACGGCUAACUACGUG